Molecule: ribosomal RNA, 2021 nt
Filed under: Staphylococcus aureus Tur-16
Lineage: Bacteria; Bacillati; Bacillota; Bacilli; Caryophanales; Staphylococcaceae
Description: bacterial LSU rRNA
Rfam family: Bacterial large subunit ribosomal RNA
Source: RNAcentral
GGUAGAGCACUGUUUGGACGAGGGGCCCCUCUCGGGUUACCGAAUUCAGACAAACUCCGAAUGCCAAUUAAUUUAACUUGGGAGUCAGAACAUGGGUGAUAAGGUCCGUGUUCGAAAGGGAAACAGCCCAGACCACCAGCUAAGGUCCCAAAAUAUAUGUUAAGUGGAAAAGGAUGUGGCGUUGCCCAGACAACUAGGAUGUUGGCUUAGAAGCAGCCAUCAUUUAAAGAGUGCGUAAUAGCUCACUAGUCGAGUGACACUGCGCCGAAAAUGUACCGGGGCUAAACAUAUUACCGAAGCUGUGGAUUGUCCUUUGGACAAUGGUAGGAGAGCGUUCUAAGGGCGUUGAAGCAUGAUCGUAAGGACAUGUGGAGCGCUUAGAAGUGAGAAUGCCGGUGUGAGUAGCGAAAGACGGGUGAGAAUCCCGUCCACCGAUUGACUAAGGUUUCCAGAGGAAGGCUCGUCCGCUCUGGGUUAGUCGGGUCCUAAGCUGAGGCCGACAGGCGUAGGCGAUGGAUAACAGGUUGAUAUUCCUGUACCACCUAUAAUCGUUUUAAUCGAUGGGGGGACGCAGUAGGAUAGGCGAAGCGUGCGAUUGGAUUGCACGUCUAAGCAGUAAGGCUGAGUAUUAGGCAAAUCCGGUACUCAUUAAGGCUGAGCUGUGAUGGGGAGAAGACAUUGUGUCUUCGAGUCGUUGAUUUCACACUGCCGAGAAAAGCCUCUAGAUAGAAAAUAGGUGCCCGUACCGCAAACCGACACAGGUAGUCAAGAUGAGAAUUCUAAGGUGAGCGAGCGAACUCUCGUUAAGGAACUCGGCAAAAUGACCCCGUAACUUCGGGAGAAGGGGUGCUCUUUAGGGUUAACGCCCAGAAGAGCCGCAGUGAAUAGGCCCAAGCGACUGUUUAUCAAAAACACAGGUCUCUGCUAAACCGUAAGGUGAUGUAUAGGGGCUGACGCCUGCCCGGUGCUGGAAGGUUAAGAGGAGUGGUUAGCUUCUGCGAAGCUACGAAUCGAAGCCCCAGUAAACGGCGGCCGUAACUAUAACGGUCCUAAGGUAGCGAAAUUCCUUGUCGGGUAAGUUCCGACCCGCACGAAAGGCGUAACGAUUUGGGCACUGUCUCAACGAGAGACUCGGUGAAAUCAUAGUACCUGUGAAGAUGCAGGUUACCCGCGACAGGACGGAAAGACCCCGUGGAGCUUUACUGUAGCCUGAUAUUGAAAUUCGGCACAGCUUGUACAGGAUAGGUAGGAGCCUUUGAAACGUGAGCGCUAGCUUACGUGGAGGCGCUGGUGGGAUACUACCCUAGCUGUGUUGGCUUUCUAACCCGCACCACUUAUCGUGGUGGGAGACAGUGUCAGGCGGGCAGUUUGACUGGGGCGGUCGCCUCCUAAAAGGUAACGGAGGCGCUCAAAGGUUCCCUCAGAAUGGUUGGAAAUCAUUCAUAGAGUGUAAAGGCAUAAGGGAGCUUGACUGCGAGACCUACAAGUCGAGCAGGGUCGAAAGACGGACUUAGUGAUCCGGUGGUUCCGCAUGGAAGGGCCAUCGCUCAACGGAUAAAAGCUACCCCGGGGAUAACAGGCUUAUCUCCCCCAAGAGUUCACAUCGACGGGGAGGUUUGGCACCUCGAUGUCGGCUCAUCGCAUCCUGGGGCUGUAGUCGGUCCCAAGGGUUGGGCUGUUCGCCCAUUAAAGCGGUACGCGAGCUGGGUUCAGAACGUCGUGAGACAGUUCGGUCCCUAUCCGUCGUGGGCGUAGGAAAUUUGAGAGGAGCUGUCCUUAGUACGAGAGGACCGGGAUGGACAUACCUCUGGUGUACCAGUUGUCGUGCCAACGGCAUAGCUGGGUAGCUAUGUGUGGACGGGAUAAGUGCUGAAAGCAUCUAAGCAUGAAGCCCCCCUCAAGAUGAGAUUUCCCAACUUCGGUUAUAAGAUCCCUCAAAGAUGAUGAGGUUAAUAGGUUCGAGGUGGAAGCAUGGUGACAUGUGGAGCUGACGAAUACUAAUCGAUCGAAGACUUAAUCAA